This 214-nucleotide long non-coding RNA is filed under the name Nicotiana benthamiana. RNAcentral describes it as "long non-coding RNA (NBEN_LNC024547)". Lineage: Eukaryota; Viridiplantae; Streptophyta; Magnoliopsida; Solanales; Solanaceae. The record is from RNAcentral.
AAGCAUAGGCAAGUAGGGGAAUAAAGCAUGUUAAAAUCCUAACUUAUCAACUCCCCUAAAACUUAAACCUUUUGCUUGUCCUCGAGCAAAAAAAUAAGACCCACCCCUUGAAGGGAAAUCCGGGUAAUUCUAGCUAUCCUAAAGUAACCUCAACAAGCAUCAAUUGGGACUAAUAACUGCCCAAGGCAUCAUUAACACAUUUAGACUUUGAAAA